UGGGGAAUUUUGGACAAUGGGCGAAAGCCUGAUCCAGCAAUGCCGCGUGUGUGAAGAAGGCCUUCGGGUUGUAAAGCACUUUUGUCCGGAAAGAAAUCCUUGGCUCUAAUACAGUCGGGGGAUGACGGUACCGGAAGAAUAAGCACUGGCUAACUACGUGCCAGCAGCCGCGGUAAUACGUAGGGUGCAAGCGUUAAUCGGAAUUACUGGGCGUAAAGCGUGCGCAGGCGGUUUGCUAAGACCGAUGUGAAAUCCCCGGGCUCAACCUGGGAACUGCAUUGGUGACUGGCAGGCUAGAGUAUGGCAGAGGGGGGUAGAAUUCCACGUGUAGCAGUGAAAUGCGUAGAGAUGUGGAGGAAUACCGAUGGCGAAGGCAGCCCCCUGGGCCAAUACUGACGCUCAUGCACGAAAGCGUGGGGAGCAAACAGGAUUAGAUACCCUGGUAGUCCACGCCCUAAACGAUGUCAACUAGUUGUUGGGGAUUCAUUUCCUUAGUAACGUAGCUAACGCGUGAAGUUGACCGCCUGGGGAGUACGGUCGCAAGAUUAAAACUUAAANGAAUUGACGGGGGUCAUAGCUGUUUCCUG
RNAcentral lists this ribosomal RNA (587 nucleotides) under uncultured bacterium. RNAcentral's name for it is "partial 16S ribosomal RNA". It matches the Rfam family "Bacterial small subunit ribosomal RNA", at positions 355 to 941 of the family's 1533-position model. The record is from RNAcentral.